Molecule: long non-coding RNA, 226 nt
Organism: Vigna angularis (adzuki bean)
Lineage: Eukaryota; Viridiplantae; Streptophyta; Magnoliopsida; Fabales; Fabaceae
Exons: 3
Source: RefSeq, a predicted model, not a curated record
UGGGGAUGCUUCCAGGAACUUGGGCUUAUGUUAGUGUCGGUGCCUUUGGAAGAGCAAUAAUUCAAGAUGAAUCUGAACUUAGUAAUAUAUUUGGAGGAAACAAUCAGCUGUUAACUCUUGGGCUGGGACUGUUGGCCACUGCAUUGGCUGCUACAUAUGUCACACGACUUGCAAAGGUAGCAAUGGAAUACUGCCUUUAUAGUCUUAACGUACAUUCAAACCAGGG